UACGUAGGGGGCGAGCGUUAUCCGGAUUUAUUGGGCGUAAAGCGUGCGUAGGCGGUCUGUUAAGUCAGCGGUCAAAGCCCGGGGCUCAACCCCGGCGAGCCGUUGAAACUGGCGGGCUGGAGUUGGAGAGAAGUACGCGGAAUGCGCGGUGUAGCGGUGAAAUGCUUAGAUAUCGCGCAGAACCCCGAUUGCGAAGGCAGCGUACCGGCUCCACACUGACGCUGAGGCACGAAAGCGUGGGUAUCGAACAGG
This 252-nucleotide ribosomal RNA is filed under the name uncultured Bacteroidales bacterium. Its description in RNAcentral is "partial 16S ribosomal RNA". It matches the Rfam family "Bacterial small subunit ribosomal RNA", at positions 524 to 776 of the family's 1533-position model. Lineage: Bacteria; Pseudomonadati; Bacteroidota; Bacteroidia; Bacteroidales. The record is from RNAcentral.